CCUGCCCAUGGAGGUGUCGCAGUGCAGCUGUUGUGUCACAUGUGAGUCAGUAGGUGGCAGGGAGGAGACACCUUAGGUUUGCUUACUCCCAGUGUUUUGACCUGUGAACAUCUGAAUGAUUAGUAGCCCAACAUU
Meriones unguiculatus (Mongolian gerbil) is the source of this 135-nucleotide small nucleolar RNA. Lineage: Eukaryota; Metazoa; Chordata; Mammalia; Rodentia; Muridae. The record is from Ensembl.